UACGUAGGGUGCAAGCGUUGUCCGGAAUUAUUGGGCGUAAAGAGCUCGUAGGCGGUUUGUCACGUCUGCUGUGAAAAUCCAAGGCUCAACCUUGGACUUGCAGUGGGUACGGGCAGGCUAGAGUGCGGUAGGGGAGAUGGGAAUUCCUGGUGUAGCGGUGGAAUGCGCAGAUAUCAGGAGGAACACCAAUGGCGAAGGCACAUCUCUGGGCCGUAACUGACGCUGAGGAGCGAAAGCGUGGGGAGCGAACAGGAUUAGAUACCCUGGUAGUCCACGCCGUAAACGGUGGGUGCUAGCUGUGGGCCACAUUCCACGUGGUCCGUGACGAAGUUAACACAUUAAGCACCCCGCCUGGGGAGUACGGCCGCAAGGCUAAAACUCAAAGGAAUUGACGGGGGCCCGCACAAGCGGCGGAGCAUGCGGAUUAAUUCGAUGCAACGCGAAGAACCUUACCAAGGCUUGACAUAUAGAGGAAAAGUGCAGAGAUGCACUCCCCGCAAGGUCUCUAUACAGGUGGUGCAUGGUUGUCGUCAGCUCGUGUCGUGAGAUGUUGGGUUAAGUCCCGCAACGAGCGCAACCCUCGUCCUAUGUUGCCAGCACGUUAUGGUGGGAACUCAUGGGAUACUGCCGGGGUCAACUCGGAGGAAGGUGGGGAUGACGUCAAAUCAUCAUGCCCCUUAUGUCUUGGGCUUCACGCAUGCUACAAUGGCCGGUACAGAGGGCAGCAAUACCGCAAGGUGGAGCGAAUCCCAAAAAGCCGGUCUCAGUUCGGAUUGAGGUUUGCAACUCGACCUCAUGAAGUCGGAGUCGCUAGUAAUCGUAGAUCAGCAACGCUACGGUGAAUACGUUCCCGGGCCU
RNAcentral lists this ribosomal RNA (858 nucleotides) under uncultured bacterium. RNAcentral's name for it is "SSU rRNA". It matches the Rfam family "Bacterial small subunit ribosomal RNA", at positions 524 to 1381 of the family's 1533-position model. The record is from RNAcentral.